CACUUUUUGACAUUGAGACGACCGAGAAAAAGUGUAUCUAAAAUCUUGCAGCAUGUUUAUUAGCUUUUGUUAAUUUUUUUUUUAAACAAAGGCUACUCGAUAUAAUUAAUACAUGUACAAUGUAUAUAUUUCUUUAUAUUGCCAAAAUGCCAUCUUUUAAAACAAAUCACAUCCAUUAACUCAACAAAAAAAAAAAGAAAAAAAAAAGGCAGCAGUCAUCACUAGUGCCGUAAAGCCGUUUAGAAGUUUCUAGGUCAGUAUUAUAUGCUGGUCCUGGAUCAGUUUCAUCUUCCACUGCUACGUUGCAAUGACGUAAGACAGGCUGCCAACGGCUGAUUGUAGAACAGCGAUUUGAGGCGCUAGUCCAGUUUAAAUUACGACAGGUCUUGGACUCCGACACUUCCGGUAUUUUAACGGCAGCCUGGUUUCUUUCCACCAACAGAGAUGUCAGCUGGCUGAGAGAUGACAUGUACACACUACUACAUAAUACAGCAAACAAACAACGACGAAAUAAACUCUAGCAGACACACGUGAUUACGCGACGCGAACAUUGCUUCGACGCGACAAAGUAAAUCUUGAAGAGUGAACGCGAAAUGGGUGAGCAGAAAUGUGUUGUUUAGUCAACUGACUAGCCUGAUAACAGCAACUGGAAUUAAUGCAAACUUUUUGCAGAUAGAAGUGGCUCGUUUAACAAAUGUCUGGAGUUGUUUGUGCAUUUAUUUUAACGGAAAAUAAGUUUGCUUUUUUUGUACUCGAAAAAUACGUUUGCUUUUUGAACCACUCUGUGUCCGAAGACAUUACUAAUACUUUUUUUUCGCGCGUUUUGCUCUUCAAGAUUAGCUUUAUAACUACUAUGCCUGUCAAAGCUGUUAGCCACUCCCAGCUUUUACUGCUGUCAGGAAGUCACUGAUGCCCUAUAUAUAGUGAUCACCCUAAACUGAAGAAAACAGCAGUAGUUUAUGUUUAAACCGUCCAAGAGCAUUUGGAGCAAAAGACAGAUCAUGUGGCUUCAGCAGAGAUUAAAGGGGCUGCCUGGUUUACUUUCAAGCAGCUGGGCCCGCCGUGUUUUGGUUGGAUUACUGCUCUUCCUCAUUUUCUACUGGUACUUGAGCUCAGAUGGGCUCCUGAAGUUUCUAAGCUUAUCUAGGGAGACUGGGGGAGCUGCGGGGGUGUGUUUGCAGACUGAUCUUCACAGGUGGGCGCCGCUGGUUGACAGAGGGGAGGGAGUGGUUCUUAGCCCCCAAACCAAAGAAUCCGUUCCAUUUGUGGUUGGUAAUGGACAUUUUCUGGUGGAUGUUGACUCUAACAAACUCUGGGUAGCUUCAUCUUCACAGCCUGGGUCUGCACCGGUUCACCAAACAGACUACAGCCCGAUUGUGCGGUUGCAGGUGCCAGGAACGCGCUCGGAAGCUCGGGCAAUGAUGCUGUGGUACAGAAAAGGCUCUGUGCUGUCCUCCCGGUCUUCUCCUGACUGUAUAGUCAUACGCGAGGAAUUUGUUGCGCAUCGCAGCCGACCCAAUGUUUAUCUUCAGAGGAUUCACAUAUCAAACCCUACAGACCAUGUGGUCUCGAUUGACGUGGCCAUGGAGUCACUUUCAUUUAGGAGCACCGUGGAGGUGAUGGAGGACAAAGAAUUUGUGCUCUCCACAGGUAAGGUGCUCACGGAAAAGAAGGACACUGUGUUAGUGGUGGUGGCCACAAAGAGACUGGGCACCAAGAUCCCGGUUCCUCCCAAAUCUGAAUAUUCAGAAAGCCUGGUGAGUGUGAUUCACACUUCGGAGCCCACCGAGGGUGGGAAACUGGACGAGACUCUCAGCAAGCUCAGAGAAGGAGUCAAAAGAGAGAUGGCGGAUGUCCUGCGAGCUAAUGUGGAAGAAUUAAUGCAAGAACACCAGCAAGCAUGGGCGGAUCUCUUCAUAUCUGGUGUGGAAAUCAGAAAGAUCACAGACGCCCAUACUCCAUCCAGUCGUACAGUCAACAACACCCUAUACUACAUUCUGUCAACCUCCACAGCACCCAUACUAGAUCAGAGUCUCACAGCAGAAGAGCACGAACGCCUGGAGUCCAGUCUGAAUUAUGCCGACCACUGCUUCAGCGGCCACGCCACCAUGCAUGCUGAGAACCUGUGGCCAGAGCGUCUGACAAACGUAGCUCAGAUCCUCCAGCUUGUGAAUCUCUGGAACUUGACUUUCCAGAAAAGAGGGUGCAAAGUACUUGUUGCAGCAGGCACUCAUGGUAUGAUGCAAGGCAUGGUCCUUAGUUUUGGAGGUCUGCAGUUCACCGAAAACCACCUUCAGUUCCAGGCAGACCCAGAUGUUCUUCACAACAGCUACUCUUUGAGGGGUAUCCAUUACAAUAAAGACCUUAUCAACCUGGCCGUAUUGCAGGACGUCGAAGGCAAACCUUUCCUGCAUGUGUCCGUCAAGCCUCAGGAGAAACCCGUGAAGCUGUACGCCUGCGAGGCAGGCUGCAUGAACGAGCCCGUGGAGCUGACCUCAGAGCUGCGAGGUCACACGUUUCCUGUGAUGGUCACCCAGCCCAUCACGCCUCUGCUGUACAUCUCCACUGAUCUUACUCACCUGCAAGACCUGAGACACACGAUGCACGUCAAGGCUAUCUUGGCUCACGAGGACCACAUGGCCAAACAGUACCCAGGCCUGCCCUUCCUCUUCUGGUUCAGUGUGGCAUCCCUCAUCACGCUUUUCCACCUCUUCCUCUUCAAACUCAUCUACAAUGAGUACUGUGGGCCUGGAGCCAAGCCGCUCUUCAGGAGUAAGGUAUAGACAGCGACAUGAAGACAAGCCAUUUUUGGGGGUGGUAACUGUGGUGUAUGUGAAUCUCCUCUCCCUUUUUCCUCUUGCUCUCAUUUUGUGCAACUCUCAAAUUCUGCCUUGCAAGAUAUUUUUACCUCUGGAAACUAAGUGACAAUAAUUGGUUUGGGUAACCCAUCAAACUUUCAAUCUGCUGUAAUUGGAGGGUCGGGUGUGCUGGAAAUAGUUGUCUGCAAUCUUCAGUUAGGGUGUUCUCUCUCUAUGAACUUUUUGAUGAGCUGAAAGCACCAGUGCUCUAAAGACACUAUUUGGAUGAUGUUACUGUCUGAAGCCUAAUCCAGUGUGCAGAAACAUUAAAUAUGGCUCUCUGGAUGUCCUCUCAGGAUGUAGCAAUGUAUAUAAUACAUGUUUUUCCAUUUUACUGUGUGAAUUUAAUAAUGAACAUCAGCUGAUUUUUGUUGAGGAUUAUGUAAGUUGUUGUGGUUAAAAUAUGAAGACUAUUAGAAGUGCCAGGUCAUGUGUAAAAUAAUUAUAAAAUAUCAUCAAUUAUGAAGGAUCCAAACAAGCUUUGUCUUAAUUCAUUCUUUUAGCUUAUAAACAAGCACAAUAAUACAAUUUUAAUGAAAAACAGAAUCAAAUAUGCAACCCCUAAACAUGUUCAAACAUGUUGAUUUUAUGUGAGUUCAACUAAAAUAUUUAGCCUAUUUUUUUAAUCAUGAUGAAAUGGAAGUAGCAACAGAUCCAUUCAUCCAUUACGUUCAUCUCUAUUGUGACGUACAUCUGAGUGAAAUGGGUUAUUGAAAAAUAAAAUGAUGUAGGGUGGUA
This is an RNA transcript of Ctenopharyngodon idella (grass carp), 3596 nucleotides long. It is a transcript of the gene named KIAA2013 ortholog, with no coding region annotated. The record is from RefSeq and is a predicted model, not a curated record. NCBI's taxonomy places the organism in Eukaryota, Metazoa, Chordata, Actinopteri, Cypriniformes, Xenocyprididae. The transcript is spliced from 3 exons.